GACUCCGUAGCUCAGAGGUUAGAGCAUGGCAUAGUUAAUGUCAAGAUUGCGAGUUCGAUUCUCGCAGGAGUCG
This 73-nucleotide transfer RNA is filed under the name Caudoviricetes sp. Its description in RNAcentral is "tRNA-Asn". It matches the Rfam family "tRNA". Rfam says of the family: Transfer RNA (tRNA) molecules are approximately 80 nucleotides in length. The record is from RNAcentral. Lineage: Duplodnaviria; Heunggongvirae; Uroviricota; Caudoviricetes.